This 290-nucleotide long non-coding RNA is filed under the name Carica papaya (papaya). RNAcentral describes it as "long non-coding RNA (CPAP_LNC001956)". Lineage: Eukaryota; Viridiplantae; Streptophyta; Magnoliopsida; Brassicales; Caricaceae. The record is from RNAcentral.
UCAAGAAUCGAGUAUUAGGAUGUUUAGUUUUUAAUUUUUUUUAAGUUGUUGGAGAUGUACUUUAAAUAACCGAUUACAAUCCACCAUAUAGAUAGGUUGUCAGACCUAUAGUCGUUGUCUUAAUAGUUGUAUCAUGAUAAUAGUUUUAAAUGUUGUCAUCAUAAUCGUGCAGGCAUGUUCAUGGCACUGCGAUCCGUGCUGGUGCGCAUUUGCACAUAGGGUAUGUGUGUGGGAGUGCCACUACACUCCAAGUAGCUCUGCACAUUCCAGUAAGCCUUGCGCGUCGUGUU